Molecule: unclassified non-coding RNA, 213 nt
Filed under: Ampulloclitocybe clavipes
Lineage: Eukaryota; Fungi; Basidiomycota; Agaricomycetes; Agaricales; Hygrophoraceae
Description: partial internal transcribed spacer 2
Source: RNAcentral
AAUUAUCAACCUUUUCUUUUGUAAUGAUUGAUCAGGCUUGGAUGUGGGGGCUGCGGGUCUCUCAGAGAUCGGCUCCCCUUAAAUGCAUUAGUGGAACCCUUUGUGGAUCAUUAUUGGCGUGAUAAUUAUCUAUCCCAGUGAUCGUGAAGCAAGCCUAACAAGCACCAGGGUUUGGCUUAUAACCGUCCCUCUCUGGGACAAAUCUUCAUUUUA